Molecule: long non-coding RNA, 543 nt
Filed under: Pelobates cultripes (western spadefoot toad)
Lineage: Eukaryota; Metazoa; Chordata; Amphibia; Anura; Pelobatidae
Source: RNAcentral
GCCAGCACUCCCAGCCAGGACUGAACCAGCACUCCUAGCUAGGACUGAGGCAGCACUCCCAGCCAGGACUGAGGCAGCAUUCAAAGCAAGGACUGAGGCAGCACUCCCAGACAGGACUGAGGCAGCACUCCCAGCCAGGACUGAGGCAGCACUCAAAGAAAGGACUGAGCCAGCACUCCCAGCCAGGACUGAGCCAGCACUCCCAGCCAGGACUGAGCCAGCACUCCCAGCCAGGACUGAGGCAGCACUCCCAGCCAGGACUGAGGCAGCACUCCCAGCCAGGACUGAGCCAGCACUCCCAGCCAGGACUGAGGCAGCACUCCCAGCCAGCAGUGAUACAGAUCCUUCAGAGUAAAAGUGUCCCAGGUUGCCAGGUUUAUUGGAUUUGUUUUCAUGGCUGACUGACCUCUGCCCAUAAGAUAGAAACCUAUUAUCCUUCUGUCAGCAUUCUGUUGCUGUGAAUAAUGGUGGAAGUAAAUAGAAAACUUCUGGAUUUACUGAAAUUGCCAGGAAACUCGGAAUGUGCAGACUGCGGCAACCCAG